UUUGAUCCUGGCUCAGAUUGAACGCUGGCGGCAGGCCUAACACAUGCAAGUCGAACGGUAACAGGAAACAGCUUGCUGUUUCGCUGACGAGUGGCGGACGGGUGAGUAAUGUCUGGGAAACUGCCUGAUGGAGGGGGAUAACUACUGGAAACGGUAGCUAAUACCGCAUAACGUCGCAAGACCAAAGAGGGGGACCUUCGGGCCUCUUGCCAUCAGAUGUGCCCAGAUGGGAUUAGCUAGUAGGUGGGGUAACGGCUCACCUAGGCGACGAUCCCUAGCUGGUCUGAGAGGAUGACCAGCCACACUGGAACUGAGACACGGUCCAGACUCCUACGGGAGGCAGCAGAAGGG
This 351-nucleotide ribosomal RNA is filed under the name uncultured Escherichia sp. Its description in RNAcentral is "bacterial SSU rRNA". It matches the Rfam family "Bacterial small subunit ribosomal RNA", at positions 12 to 359 of the family's 1533-position model. The record is from RNAcentral. Lineage: Bacteria; Pseudomonadati; Pseudomonadota; Gammaproteobacteria; Enterobacterales; Enterobacteriaceae.